AUAAAAAUGAAACUAAAUGCUGAA
This 24-nucleotide non-coding RNA is filed under the name Cricetulus griseus (Chinese hamster). The record is from RNAcentral. Lineage: Eukaryota; Metazoa; Chordata; Mammalia; Rodentia; Cricetidae.